This is a long non-coding RNA of Armigeres subalbatus, 800 nucleotides long. RefSeq lists it as uncharacterized. Lineage: Eukaryota; Metazoa; Arthropoda; Insecta; Diptera; Culicidae. The record is from RefSeq and is a predicted model, not a curated record. The transcript is spliced from 3 exons.
UCAUUUUGUUUUUCGGUUAUAAAACAACAACUGGAUUUAUGGUCACUGUCACCAAUCCAAAAGUGUAAUUAUCACAACAGAAGCUUUUCGGAUGCAGCGAUCAAAAUGAUGAUUCUCCAGGACCGCCAACUGGCGAUGAUCUCUGCAGCCGCAAAGAACGAAUCAGAAUUUAAAGAGGAGCCUACGUAUCGCAAUAAUAGAACUAGCAGCAGUCGUGAACCGAUAAGUACUUCUCGGACCACAGCAAUUCCGGUAACACCCCCAACAGCAACGAACAUUUUACAACCUAUCAUAUCCAAGAAUAUCAUUUUGGACUAAUCUGGCAUUAAUUUCGGUUGAUUGGCGCGACAAAGAAGACGGUCCAGUUUACAUGAUGGAUGAUGUAUUGGCGGAACCAAAAACCAGAGCCUAUGCAGCUAGUACCGUUAAGUUAAUUAUGGAUUUGCUAGCAUUUGUUAUACUGCACACCGAGCAUCAACGAGAAAUAAAUCAUUGCCAUCUUGACCCGUAAAUAAAGGUCAAUGAAAAUUAGGUUAUGCGUCUGCCCCACAUCAUCUCUCGGCUUUCACUCGCAAAAGUACGAUGUUCCUGGAGCACAUAGAUUAUUCGUGAUUGAAUCCUGAUCAGCGUAUUCCUCAAAGUUUAUAUGCAGCGGUAAUUCGUCGACACUUUUAGUUUUUUGUUCCUAAGUACGAUCGAUGAGUCAACGAAAUUUCAGCUGCGCAUCUGUCGCCGCGUUUAAAUACGUUGACGCCAGUGAAUAUAAUAAAAUAAUCGAUUGUUUGAUAUUAACCAUCAAA